GUGGCUGUAAUAUUUCUCCAUGUAUUGAAGUCAGAAUUCCCGUAGUUCAUUUUAGCUAUUUCAUGUGGAAAACCACAAUAAACAUGUCUCCAUGCACCCCUUUUCUCCAGUGCAUGGACAUCCCUGCAUGGACUGCAAAGCCAUUAGGUGGAUUCUCACUGGAAUCCCUUUUCUGGAACAACCACUGCUGUAACUCCAGUGCAACAUCUACUUCUGGAUGUGGAGAAUUUUAAGAGUGCCUCAUUACCAACCACUAAUUAAAUCUAAUGUGAAAGAAAUGUUGGAUGAAAUCUUGCCAGCGUUGAAGUUUCUGGCAACGCUCCCAUUGACUUCAGCCAGAACUUAAAUUUUGCUUUUUGGGUUUUGGACUCUUCUGAAGGUGAUCAUUAUAAUUAUUUCUUAUCCGGGAUCUUCAGUUACAAGCUCAGGUCUCGUAGCAGUAGACAGGUAAAGUGGCUGUUUGGUUUUUAGAUCAUUACACUCAAUGUGACGAGCAGAAGAAGCUGUUGAAUGAAACAGCUAGGCGAGGUGGAAAGAGGUGGGGAGAGGGAGCUGACCUUGAGACUAACAAAGUUUGUCGUAACAGUGAGUAGUUUAUUAGAAAACAUAACAUAGCGCUUUCCUUUCACCGUGGGUAAAAUGUUCAGAAGUGCCUGCCUAUAACCAAAUGAUUUAUUCCUGGGGUGAGCCAGCCCUCUUUGAAGACAGAGUCUUUUAAGAAUGUGUGUUUGGGUCUAAUGAGAAGAAUUACCAGUCCCAAAUGAGAAGGGCUCAGCGGUUCAUGUAAAAGCCAGACAUCCUGGGCAGUCCUGGCUGGAGUUACAGGUGUAGGUGUUAUCCACACAUACGGAUGUAACGACAGGAGUGGGGGCUCACGCAAGAGGGAUCCGUAAUAGCAUCCAAAACGCAUGUGAGAAACAUGUAAAGAAUGUGGGGUCUGGCUUGAAGGGGAUGAUCUGCACAGGCGUCUGUAAGAGCUGCUGCAAUGUACGUGAAAAUCCAUUGUACUGUUGUACUCGGAUCUGUGGUAUUUACAGCUGUGUCCUGGCUUGUUUUUAACUUUCCUAAUUCCUUCCUAAAACUCAUUUAAAUUCCUUACUGGUUUGUUUUUCUCUUCCCUGUAGCACUCCUUGAUCUAUGUAGUUCAAUUAAAAGGCAGCAUGAGGGCAGUAUCUACAAGAAGUUGUUUAUUUCUGUACUUUGUUGCAAAUAGAAGUUCUCUAAAUGCUCGGCUUCUGAAGCAACAUAUUUUCCACUUCUUUUUAUUUCUCUCACCCCCAAGCUGCUAAAACUUUGCUUUAAAACUGCCAUGUGGAUUAACAAAUGCCUGCCUGUUGGUAUAAACUGAAUUUUCCAUUAGUGACAACUCACAUGAUGUGUCAGGCUAAUAGGGCAGAUACAGAGCGUAGCAAAUUUGGUUUCUUGGUUUUCCACUUUGCUCACAGUAGCACUGCAACAAAGGAGGUUUUUCUAGCUGUGUUUUACCUUUCCUUUUCAUCAGCAGUUUUGGAUUAGAUACCUUCUUGUUUCAUGUGUAAGGCUCAUUGCAGAUGAAAGAAGGACACAAUUAGGUCUCUCUCACAGCACCACAGUUGUUUGCCGCCUUGUUGGGUUUUUGUAUGCAGGUUUCAAUGUGUUCCUAUCAGCUGCUCCCGUGUUGUACUUGGAGAUGAGGGUCUCAGGCAGGGUCUCCUUCCAGGGUGAUGAGGGAACCUAGGAGAAGCAGAGGAGCAUUAGUUUGAAGAGCAGAUGUGUUACACUAGGACUAACUUUAAGAAUAUUCUUGGAAAGUCCAUACCGGCUCCAAGAAUCUUGUAAGAGGGUAUUUCCUUGGUGAUGCUGGAAGUCAGACAUCUCCCAUCAGAAGGCUUCUCUGAGACUUAGUAAAUAUUUUGUUUUGUACGAGCUCUUUCUGAAGUGUUCUUCCUGUAUUUUGUGUACAUCAUGAUUUUUUCCCAAUUAUGCUUUAAAUACAAUUGAGUGCUUGUUUACGUCAUCAGUUGGAGGAAUAUGGGUGCCCUUAACAUGUAGUGCUUAGUCUGGCUAAUUACAAACCUGUUCAGUAAUUCCCUUUCCUUUGUACCGACUGUUUAUAUCUCCAAAGAAAGAUUGCUUAACAUGACAAUGCCUGAAACACUCGACUGUGGAACAUCACUGCGUGAUCAUUGGAAGAGCGGUCCUUUCGUUUCAACUGUAGUGUGACUGCUUCCUGAGGAAGGGUAACGGCUGUUGAAGAACCAUGUCCUAAGUGGUUUUUUAUGAUACUGUGUUAACGCAGUAGCUGUGACUGCUAUAGGUGUACUGCUUCUGGUUGUCACUGAAAUACGGAUAGAUGUUUCUUUUAGUGUAGGGGAGGCCAUGCAAUUUUCUGGGAGAAAGUCCGUAGUCUUAAGCAGUUCAUACAUCCAGCUGAUGUUAAGAGGUCUCCUGAUGUCUGUGUAGUGUCUUCUAUUCUCAAAUGGAUAUUCGGUGGUAAAAAUGGCAGUACAUCAAUAUCAGGUUAUACAUUUAGAAGAAGCAGUAUGUGAUAAAAAUAAAAAAUCCCAUUGCCUUUCAUCUGUCCCAUUUUCCUCUGUAGAACAUGUGGUUUCUGUCUCUGGAGACAAAUAUGAAUCAGAAGUUGUCAAUGGGAUGUAAAAGUCAGUGGAAAGCUUUUAGCUGACAUUAAUCAAUGCUGUAAAAGGCAGAAAAAUAGAUGGUGUCGCAGGUACCUCAUAGUGUCUGCACUGGCAAGUAGUGCAGCAAACCAGGAAUCAAUCUGUAGAGCUGAGUCGUGGCUAAGGACCCAGAUGUUGCUGAGAACCCAGUCUCCACACUGUGGGACCGUAUGGGUCAACUGCCAUUUGGAAGCAGGGGUUCUCAGAUAGCUCCUUAACCUCAGCUUGCGUAUCCAGAUGUUUUCACAAGUCAUUACGUGGACACUGUAUUCAAGCAGCAAAGGCUGUACAUCUUCUUCCUCCCAUUAAGAAACUAUGAUACGCAUGAACAUUGCAAUAUCUUCAUUUUAAAAAAUUCUUUAUUUUGAUUGGGACAUCUGCAUUCUUAAAAAAAAAAAAAACAACAAGACACUUAAAUGUCUCUGCAAAGACAUCUGCCAGCCUAAUUCUAAAGUGGGUCUGAGACCCCAGGCCAGUUCCCAUUUGCGGUGCUGUGCCACACUUUCAGAAAGUGGACGAUCUUUGCAUUCUGGAGCAAGGCUGUUUUUAUUGUGACAUUUUCUGCACAAUAAAAACACUCAUCCUUUCAAGUUAAAUCAACAGUUGUAGCAAAAUGGCUAACAGAAUUGCAGUCAGAUUCUCAAUUGCCUUUAAAAGAAGAGAAAAUGCUGUGACAUUUGAGGCUGACAUAAACAACAUCACUAGAAUGAAUUAAAUGAAUGUUAUCUAUUUUUCUGAGUGGCUUUUAGAGUCUUUAGAAUGCUUUUUGGAUUGUUACUACUGAGUAGUAUUAACAAAGUACCAAACAUCUAUUUCUGUGUAAUUCAUCUUUUGCAAUAUUUGAUAGUCCUGAAGUAAUGGAAGAGUCAAUUGUAACUGGAAAUGGAAGAAAUGAAGCAUCAGAAAAGAUAGAAUGUUAUCAAAUAAGAAAGUAAACAAGUUUUGAAAUUAGAAGAUGUGUUUGCAGAUUCCGGUAGCUUACUCAAACAAGUGUGAUAAUGCUGUGUGGGGUUACAAGAGAUUUAACCAUAGCUGUUAAGCUGCAAAGAGCUUGUGUAAAUAGAUUUAAUUUCCAAAAAAAAAGCAGACUUCACUCAAAACGAGCACUUCCCUCUGUAGUCAUCCUCAAAUGGCAAAUUGCUCAAGGAAGUUUGAGCCCUGACUUCUAGGCCCCCACUACAGAAGCUUACGGUUUAUACUUGCACAAAGGAAGCCUGGUUUUGAGUUCAAAGCUAGAAUCUCAGAGCAGGUGGAUUUCAGGGAAUUUAAGGAUUUAUUCUGAACUUUGUCUAGCAAUCCAGGAUACUCUGAAAAAAAAAAAAAGAGCAAAAUAUGUGUUUUGACUUACGAAAAAGAUUAAAAGCUAGAGAUGACAUAAAUCGUGGAUAAUUGUUUUGAGGAAGAGUUUGAUUUUCCAGACAUCCUGUUCUCAGUCUGCAGUGGCAGAGAGUUAAAGAAUCGCAGUGAUCACCUUUGACUAAAACGGACACACACACAAGGCCGUGCCCUUGUCCAUUUGUCACACCAUGACGCCAUGGAGGUACCACAGCAUCCACCAUCCCUGGGAUGGUGUAGGCCACGCUUGUGUCUCUCUGGAUGUGUCUUUCGUGUGUUCAACAGCAAUACGAUCAGGAGCUCGAGCAGAGUCCGAUGCGAAGAUCCCGUCUCAGCUCACUAAUUCAAACUGCAACGGUCAUUCUUGCCCCGUUUUAUAUACGAUAGUACAAUGCAACGCUUUUCAGCUUUUGAUGAGGUCUCAGAAGUUGCCAAAUGAAGCCCCAGUGAAGGACCAAUUCCAGCCCUUACGAUCAAGGCACAAGAGUCCCCAGAAAGAGCCUGUUUGUGGAAUCGCUGCGUUACAAUUAGCUCAGCACAAGCCUUCCAUGAGGAAUUACAGGACCUUAUUUGCAGCAUCUGUCGAAAUAAUUGCACCUCUCAGUGAUUUUUAUCCCUCUAUUCCUUGUUUUAAGUA
Long non-coding RNA from Grus americana (Whooping crane), 4629 nucleotides. RefSeq lists it as uncharacterized. Lineage: Eukaryota; Metazoa; Chordata; Aves; Gruiformes; Gruidae. The record is from RefSeq and is a predicted model, not a curated record. The transcript has 3 exons.